CUAGGAGUAGGCAUCAACGCGUUAAGUGCCACCGGAACGGAAUGUGAACGGUGGACGAAGGUCAUGUGGGCCGCGGUGUUGGUGCCGCAUUCGCCUGA
The sequence is a regulatory RNA element, 98 nucleotides long. It matches the Rfam family "THF (Tetrahydrofolate) riboswitch aptamer". From Rfam's summary of the family: THF riboswitch presents a pseudoknot that joins P1-P2 and the loop of P3 and two THF binding. The record is from Rfam.